Molecule: long non-coding RNA, 1778 nt
Organism: Protopterus annectens (West African lungfish)
Lineage: Eukaryota; Metazoa; Chordata; Ceratodontiformes; Protopteridae
Exons: 2
Source: RefSeq, a predicted model, not a curated record
CACAAGAGGUUUUUGGGGCAUUCAGCCCAUGUGACCAACAUCCGGUUUACCAGUGGAGACCGGUAUGUGGUGAGUGCUGGAGGGGAUGACUGCAGUUUGUUCGUCUGGAAGUGCGUGCACAGUCCUCACUGAACAAAGCAAGGCAGAGCAACCUGAAGGAACAAGUAGCUGUUCUGCAUGAUGGUAUCUAGCAUGGCUCAUCCAGUGUCAUGGAGCUUAAGAAUCCCUGGACAUCCUGCAUGUGCAAGGAGUGGUGGUACAAGCAAAUACAAGGCAGUCCUUGACUCCAUCUGUCUAUCAUCUUAGAGUGUGCAAAGUGUCUGUAAGAGAGAUGGAAGCCUUGUGCUUCCUUACUGACUGAAAAAGCUCCAGUAUGUCAGGGAAGAUCCUUUAACAGCAGGGACCUUGAAAACCUUACUAGCCUUUGAACUAGUACCUUUUGUCUCUGUUCAUCUUAAAAUGGUAUCAGGUCGGAAUACAAAUUCAUGUUGUUUAAAUGCAGAAGUGGUUGCACACAGCCAAAGGACUCAUUAAAGUUGUGUUCUGCAGUACUUGGUUGUAAAACAGGCAGGGGAACCUAACAUCAGGUCUGCAGAAGAAAGCUUGGAAUUUGAUGACUGUGCUGUAUGCUGCAGGCUGCUGGGCAUUUGGGGAUUUUCUGACCUCUUUUUGUAAAACAACAUCAAGCUUGUAAAGAAGAGCUCCUAAAGUGGUUACAAUAAACAUGACUCUUUUUUUUAAUUGUACAGCAAUGUUAUAUGUGUAGUCUGCAGGAUGCUAUUAAGAUUUAAAAAACUGGAAGUACCUUUCAGAAUGGGAUUAUAGGAUAUCUCAUUCUGGAUUAUGCCCAAACCAACCUCUUCUCAAAGGAUUCAACAGAACCGUUGUCUCUCUUUUUGCCUUCUAAUGGGAGUGAUAUCCUAUAAUGUUACUGAUGUGGAAUGUCGCAAGCAGCAUGUGUUUGUCCCAUCUGUCUUCAGUAGAAAUGCAAAGCAGGCCCCACAUGGGUGAAUGCUCAGGGUACUUAGCAGAUAUCAAGAGGAAUUGCCACUAAUGUAUCAAACACCCUGUGACUGCUCUCUGAUAUGUGUGUUUUCUUAAUGUCCAUUCAUUUCUGCCAGCUCUAAAAAUCAAGGAAAAAAGGCAUGAAGAGAACAGAUGGAGCCCUUUCUGAGUGGCAUUUUGUUACAUUUUUUUAUGUAUUUGUUACCAUCUGCAUCCGUCCUUGCUCUUUCAUGGCACUGAUUGAGCUGCUCUGAACACUAUUGCACACACAGUGCAUCUUCAAAUAAGAUGGAUGGUUCUAGAACCCUCCACAAGGGUCACCAUAUAGCCAGCUAGGGUGCCUAUGCAAACUGUUUUCAGAUGAACUCAGGAUGAUUGUCUUAGCAACUAGUCUACUGUUUUGUAACAUCUUCUCACCAUUGUCUUAGAAAAAAUUAUGUUAAGAAAAUCUCUCAACAUCUUGUAAGAUUGCUCUUUCUUCAAACCAUGUAUAAAAUAAUUAUAAUUAGUAUUAGGACCACAUGGAAGCUUUUUGCAUAUAUCUUUUAUUUUUAUAGGCUGUGGCUUCCAAAACAAGUGGUCCAUAACUUUUUCAUUCCAUAAUACAGCCAAAUUAAAGUGUAAAUUAAUAUGGCAUUUGUUUUUCUGCUGCUAUGAAGUUGUGUCUCCAAUUCCUGAAUAGUGUAUCAGUUAUCUUUUUGCAGGAAGUAUUCAGAACCUAACUGGAUUACAUCUGUCUGCAAAAGACUGAAUUAAAAAAAAAACAUGUCCAA